This is a long non-coding RNA of Helianthus annuus (common sunflower), 276 nucleotides long. RefSeq lists it as uncharacterized. NCBI's taxonomy places the organism in Eukaryota, Viridiplantae, Streptophyta, Magnoliopsida, Asterales, Asteraceae. The record is from RefSeq and is a predicted model, not a curated record. The transcript is spliced from 3 exons.
GGGUUGUGAAUUGAGUAGUAGGCUACGCUUCUUUUCGUGUUUUCUUUCGUGGGAUGAGUUUUUGUUCUUGUAUUUGACGACGAAAUCGGUGAAUACGAGAGGUUGAUUGGAAAGCGAUGCCGGGACCAGCGUCAGAUUGUAGGUUCAGUGACGGCGAUACGACAAUGUUUUAUAGAUUUGUAUCAUUGAGUGGAUUUUGGUCGAAGCAUCGCGAUGACGUUGGCUGCAAUUAACUCCAGAAGGGUAGUGAUUAGUGAAUGAACGGCUUAGUUAAAG